This 497-nucleotide ribosomal RNA is filed under the name uncultured bacterium. RNAcentral's name for it is "partial 16S ribosomal RNA". It matches the Rfam family "Bacterial small subunit ribosomal RNA", at positions 28 to 507 of the family's 1533-position model. The record is from RNAcentral.
GAUGAACGCUGGCGGCGUGCCUAAUACAUGCAAGUCGAGCGAACAGAUAAGGAGCUUGCUCCUUUGACGUUAGCGGCGGACGGGUGAGUAACACGUGGGUAACCUACCUAUAAGACUGGGAUAACUUCGGGAAACCGGAGCUAAUACCGGAUAGCAUUUGGAACCGCAUGGUUCUAAAGUGAAAGAUGGUUUUGCUAUCACUUAUAGAUGGACCCGCGCCGUAUUAGCUAGUUGGUAAGGUAACGGCUUACCAAGGCGACGAUACGUAGCCGACCUGAGAGGGUGAUCGGCCACACUGGAACUGAGACACGGUCCAGACUCCUACGGGAGGCAGCAGUAGGGAAUCUUCCGCAAUAGGCGAAAGCCUGACGGAGCAACGCCGCGUGAGUGAUGAAGGGUUUCGGCUCGUAAAACUCUGUUAUUAGGGAAGAACAAAUGUGUAAGUAACUGUGCACGUCUUGACGGUACCUAAUCAGAAAGCCACGGCUAACUACGUG